CUCAGGAUGAACGCUGGCGGCGUGCUUAACACAUGCAAGUCGAACGAUGACCCCGUGCUUGCACGGGUGAUUAGUGGCGAACGGGUGAGUAACACGUGAGUAACCUGCCCCCGACUUUGGGAUAAGCCCGGGAAACUGGGUCUAAUACCGGAUAUGACUUCUUACCGCAUGGUGGGUUGUUGAAAGAUUUAUCGGUGGGGGAUGGACUCGCGGCCUAUCAGCUUGUUGGUGAGGUAAUGGCUCACCAAGGCGACGACGGGUAGCCGGCCUGAGAGGGUGACCGGCCACACUGGGACUGAGACACGGCCCAGACUCCUACGGGAGGCAGCAGUGGGGAAUAUUGCACAAUGGCGAAAGCUGGAUGCAGCGACGCCGCGUGAGGGAUGACGGCCUUCGGGUUGUAAACCUCUUUCAGUAGGGAAGAAGCGAAAGUGACGGUACCUGCAGAAGAAGCGCCGGCUAACUACGUGCCAGCAGCCGCGGUAAUACGUAGGGCGCAAGCGUUAUCCGGAUUUAUUGGGCGUAAAGAGCUCGUAGGCGGUUUGUCGCGUCUGCCGUGAAAGUCCGAGGCUCAACCUCGGAUCUGCGGUGGGUACGGGCAGACUAGAGUGAUGUAGGGGAGACUGGAAUUCCUGGUGUAGCGGUGAAAUGCGCAGAUAUCAGGAGGAACACCGAUGGCGAAGGCAGGUCUCUGGGCAUUUACUGACGCUGAGGAGCGAAAGAAUGGGGAGCGAACAGGAUUAGAUACCCUGGUAGUCCAUGCCGUAAACGUUGGGCACUAGGUGUGGGGGACAUUCCACGUUUUCCGCGCCGUAGCUAACGCAUUAAGUGCCCCGCCUGGGGAGUACGGCCGCAAAGUUAAAACUCAAAGGAAUUGACGGGGGCCCGCACAAGCGGCGGAGCAUGCGGAUUAAUUCGAUGCAACGCGAAGAACCUUACCAAGGCUUGACAUGUGCCAGACCGCCUCAGAGAUGGGGUGUUCUUCGGGGCCUGGUUCACAGGUGGUGCAUGGUUGUCGUCAGCUCGUGUCGUGAGAUGUUGGGUUAAGUCCCGCAACGAGCGCAACCCUCGUUCCAUGUUGCCAGCACGUAGUGGUGGGGACUCAUGGGAGACUGCCGGGGUCAACUCGGAGGAAGGUGGGGAUGACGUCAAAUCAUCAUGCCCCUUAUGUCUUGGGCUUCACGCAUGCUACAAUGGCCGGUACAAUGGGUUGCGAUACUGUGAGGUGGAGCUAAUCCCUAAAAGCCGGUCUCAGUUCGGAUUGGGGUCUGCCACUCGACCCCAUGAAGUCGGAGUCGCUAGUAAUCG
RNAcentral lists this ribosomal RNA (1308 nucleotides) under Arthrobacter sp. GWS-BW-H53M. RNAcentral's name for it is "bacterial SSU rRNA". It matches the Rfam family "Bacterial small subunit ribosomal RNA", at positions 23 to 1344 of the family's 1533-position model. The record is from RNAcentral. Lineage: Bacteria; Bacillati; Actinomycetota; Actinomycetes; Micrococcales; Micrococcaceae.